GGCUGCGAUCGAGGAUCGGUAUGCAUCUCCAUGCUGUGCUCCAUGCACACUCCUUGGUUACGAUCGAGAAUUGGUACGCAUCUCCAUGCUGCUCUCUACGUGCGCUCCUUGGCUAUGGCGAGGAUCUGUAUGCAUCUCCAUACUGUACUUUGCGCGCAUGCCUCGACUGUGGUCGCUGAUCGGUAUGCGCAUCUCCAUGCUACCCUCCACACGUGCUCCUCAACUACAGAGGAUCAGUAUGUAUUUCCAUGCUGCAUAC
Molecule: long non-coding RNA, 259 nt
Filed under: Elaeis guineensis (African oil palm)
Lineage: Eukaryota; Viridiplantae; Streptophyta; Magnoliopsida; Arecales; Arecaceae
Description: long non-coding RNA (EGUI_LNC023566)
Source: RNAcentral